AUUGAACGCUGGCGGCAGGCCUAACACAUGCAAGUCGAGCGCGCGGCGGACGGGUGAGUAAUGUCUGGGACACUGCCUGAUGGAGGGGGAUAACUACUGGAAACGGUAUCUAAUACCGCAUACCCUCAGAUGUGCCCAGAGGGGAUUAGCUAGUAGGGGGGGUAACGGCUCACAUAGGCGACGCUCCCUAGCUGGUCUGAGAGGAGGACCAGCCACACUGGAACUGAGACACGGUCCAGACUCCUACGGGAGGCAGCAGUGGGGAAUAUUGCACAAUGGGCGAAAGCCUGAUGCAGCCAUGCCGCGUGUGUGAAGAAGGCCUUCGGGUUGUAAAGCACUUUCAGCGGGGAGGCGUUACCCGCAGAAGAAGCACCGGCUAACUCCGUGCCAGCCGCCGCGGUAAUAC
This 406-nucleotide ribosomal RNA is filed under the name uncultured bacterium. Its description in RNAcentral is "partial 16S ribosomal RNA". It matches the Rfam family "Bacterial small subunit ribosomal RNA", at positions 29 to 526 of the family's 1533-position model. The record is from RNAcentral.